Molecule: ribosomal RNA, 529 nt
Filed under: Fusarium incarnatum
Lineage: Eukaryota; Fungi; Ascomycota; Sordariomycetes; Hypocreales; Nectriaceae
Description: eukaryotic LSU rRNA
Rfam family: 5.8S ribosomal RNA (bases 163-316)
Source: RNAcentral
GGAGGGAUCAUUACCGAGUUUACAACUCCCAAACCCCUGUGAACAUACCUAUACGUUGCCUCGGCGGAUCAGCCCGCGCCCCGUAAAAAGGGACGGCCCGCCCGAGGACCCCUAAACUCUGUUUUUAGUGGAACUUCUGAGUAAAACAAACAAAUAAAUCAAAACUUUCAACAACGGAUCUCUUGGUUCUGGCAUCGAUGAAGAACGCAGCAAAAUGCGAUAAGUAAUGUGAAUUGCAGAAUUCAGUGAAUCAUCGAAUCUUUGAACGCACAUUGCGCCCGCCAGUAUUCUGGCGGGCAUGCCUGUUCGAGCGUCAUUUCAACCCUCAAGCUCAGCUUGGUGUUGGGACUCGCGGUAACCCGCGUUCCCCAAAUCGAUUGGCGGUCACGUCGAGCUUCCAUAGCGUAGUAAUCAUACACCUCGUUACUGGUAAUCGUCGCGGCCACGCCGUAAAACCCCAACUUCUGAAUGUUGACCUCGGAUCAGGUAGGAAUACCCGCUGAACUUAAGCAUAUCAAUAGCGGAGGAA